GACGAACGCUGGCGGCGUGCUUAACACAUGCAAGUCGAACGGAAAGGCCCUGCUUUUGUGGGGUGCUCGAGUGGCGAACGGGUGAGUAACACGUGAGUAACCUGCCCUUGACUUUGGGAUAACUUCAGGAAACUGGGGCUAAUACCGGAUAGGAGCUCCUGCUGCAUGGUGGGGGUUGGAAAGUUUCGGCGGUUGGGGAUGGACUCGCGGCUUAUCAGCUUGUUGGUGGGGUAGUGGCUUACCAAGGCUUUGACGGGUAGCCGGCCUGAGAGGGUGACCGGCCACAUUGGGACUGAGAUACGGCCCAGACUCCUACGGGAGGCAGCAGUGGGGAAUAUUGCACAAUGGGCGGAAGCCUGAUGCAGCAACGCCGCGUGCGGGAUGACGGCCUUCGGGUUGUAAACCGCUUUCGCCUGUGACGAAGCGUGAGUGACGGUAAUGGGUAAAGAGGCACCGGCUAACUACGUG
This 468-nucleotide ribosomal RNA is filed under the name uncultured bacterium. Its description in RNAcentral is "partial 16S ribosomal RNA". It matches the Rfam family "Bacterial small subunit ribosomal RNA", at positions 28 to 507 of the family's 1533-position model. The record is from RNAcentral.